GAGGGUGGGCCCCGGGUUGGUGGCAGCCAUUUCUCAUCU
This 39-nucleotide unclassified non-coding RNA is filed under the name Bos taurus (domestic cattle). Its description in RNAcentral is "partial telomerase RNA". Lineage: Eukaryota; Metazoa; Chordata; Mammalia; Artiodactyla; Bovidae. The record is from RNAcentral.